GGGGUGCACCAUAGAUAUAAACUGGAGAAUUAUCAGAGUAUAAGUGGCAUUUUACACCAUGAGGCUGGAUGUGAGUGGGCACAUCUAGAGUAAGGCCGAGGCCUGUGACAACAUUUAAAGGAAACAUUACAACAUGUCUGUGUGCUGCUAGGAAUGAUUUGGCACAACGGGAGAUAUUGAUGAUGCAGGGGAGAGGGGCAGACUUACAGGAGCCCGGUCCCUGAGGAGGCUGCUGCACAGGAAGCCGGUGCGCAAGCCGACAGCUCACAUGCAGGGGAGCAACUAUUUGGAGAUGCCAUUUUUUUCACCCAUGAGAUUGUCAUAUAUCCAAGUUGGCUAAGAGGUCCUGCUGAUGAGGCUUUGGGGAAACACACUCAUGUUUGCAAAGAGAUGGUCACUGAAAAUCCCCAGCAGCUCAGCAGUAGCACUGUAGCUGUGGCUGAAGAUAAGUAUCUGCAGCCAUGUGGUAUCCCCUGAAGGCCUGCUGAACUCCAUCCCUUCCUCUCCUGAACCAGAAGGCAUAUCAGAAUGAAAGUAAUGAUUCUUUGCAACUUCAAGGCUGAACCCCAAGGCUUAUUGCCCAGGGAAGGAGAUGGUGAAAUAAAGCAGCAAAUGAUCACCUAUAAAUGCCAAAGCAGUGGGGACAGCAUAGGUUAUGAUACAGAUAAUGUGGAAAGACAGCCUCUCUGGCUCAGAGAAAUUGUGAGAGGGAGGGGGCCAGAGGUGGAGCGGCAGGCCUGGAGAGUGUGUUCUGAGCAACUCCUUCUGGCCAGAUUUCAGGAUGGGGCCAGCAUAUCAAGUAGGUUGAGAUCAAACACAGAUGUUUCUGUCCUUGCCAUCUGCAACCCUGGGACACCAACAUCUGGACUUUCCCAAUAUGGGGAAGCCAAAUCAGAAUAAAAGCAGUUGUGGUGUGUGGUUGGGCAGAGGAGGGGGGACCAGAUUUGACUGUCCUGUGCCACAGCGGAUAGCAUGAGCCCCUCUGUUCUGAGUAGGGAUAAGGAUGGUGGCUGGCAGGCUUGCUGGGACAUUUGCUACAUCAAGGAUAACGUGGCAGUGAUAGAAAGUCACUUACAGUCAGUCCGGUGUGAGUGAGGGCCAAGGUGGGGACCUAGGCAGCGGGGAGAGCCAACAGGCCAUGGGGGCCCCCAACUGCACGGACAGGAACGGAGCCUCCAUUCUUCAGCCAAAAGCUGUAGCUACAGAUGCCAGCAAGGCAGUGAGCAGGGCGACGAGGUGCAUGCUCUAGGGUCUGAGGAUCUGCCUGAGCAUGCAGACCCCUCCUCAACAGCCCCUUACUCACCGGCCCCCACCCCCACCCAUAAAACCAAACAUUGUCAUGAAGAGCAGGAAGAAGGGAAGAAAUCUGAAACACUGGGCACAUAUCCAAAAGAGACAAAGUUACCUAUAGAGGGAGUGACAAUGACCAGAUGGAGGUUAUAGGACCAUCUAAGUGCUGGCAUUCACACCUGGCAGACUGGACAUCACAUGAAAGAGCAGAUGAGUGAAAGAAAGAAAGAAAGAAAGAAAGAAAGAAAGAAAGAAAGAAAGAAAGAAAGAAAGAAAGAAAGAAAGAAAAAAG
This is a long non-coding RNA of Manis javanica (Malayan pangolin), 1582 nucleotides long. RefSeq lists it as uncharacterized. The record is from RefSeq and is a predicted model, not a curated record. NCBI's taxonomy places the organism in Eukaryota, Metazoa, Chordata, Mammalia, Pholidota, Manidae.